This 619-nucleotide ribosomal RNA is filed under the name uncultured bacterium. Its description in RNAcentral is "bacterial SSU rRNA". The stretch from base 1 to 541 matches the Rfam family "Bacterial small subunit ribosomal RNA", at positions 338 to 873 of the family's 1533-position model. The record is from RNAcentral.
CCUACGGGAGGCAGCAGUGGGGAAUAUUGCACAAUGGGCGCAAGCCUGAUGCAGCCAUGCCGCGUGUAUGAAGAAGGCCUUCGGGUUGUAAAGUACUUUCAGCGGGGAGGAAGGGAGUAAAGUUAAUACCUUUGCUCAUUGACGUUACCCGCAGAAGAAGCACCGGCUAACUCCGUGCCAGCAGCCGCGGUAAUACGGAGGGUGCAAGCGUUAAUCGGAAUUACUGGGCGUAAAGCGCACGCAGGCGGUUUGUUAAGUCAGAUGUGAAAUCCCCGGGCUCAACCUGGGAACUGCAUCUGAUACUGGCAAGCUUGAGUCUCGUAGAGGGGGGUAGAAUUCCAGGUGUAGCGGUGAAAUGCGUAGAGAUCUGGAGGAAUACCGGUGGCGAAGGCGGCCCCCUGGACGAAGACUGACGCUCAGGUGCGAAAGCGUGGGGAGCAAACAGGGAUUAGAUACCCUGGUAGUCCACGCCGUAAACGAUGUCGACUUGAGGUUGUGCCUUGAGGCGUGGCUUCCGGAGCUAACGCGUUAAGCGACCGCCUGGGGAGGACGGCCGCGAGUAAACGUUACGAAGUAGAGUUAGAGCGNGAGACGNGCGACGGACGACGACGAGGAGAGG